CCUACGGGGGGCAGCAGUGGGGAAUAUUGGACAAUGGGGGCAACCCUGAUCCAGCCAUGCCGCGUGUGUGAAGAAGGCCCUCGGGUUGUAAAGCACUUUCAGUGAGGAAGAACGCCUUGUGGUUAAUACCCAUCAGGAAAGACAUCACUCACAGAAGAAGCACCGGCUAACUCCGUGCCAGCAGCCGCGGUAAUACGGAGGGUGCGAGCGUUAAUCGGAAUUACUGGGCGUAAAGCGCGCGUAGGUGGCUUGAUAAGACGGUUGUGAAAGCCCCGGGCUCAACCUGGGAACGGCAUCCGGAACUGUCAAGCUAGAGUGCAGGAGAGGAAGGUAGAAUUCCCGGUGUAGCGGUGAAAUGCGUAGAGAUCGGGAGGAAUACCAGUGGCGAAGGCGGCCUUCUGGACUGACACUGACACUGAGGUGCGAAAGCGUGGGUAGCAAACAGGAUUAGAUACCCGAGUAGUC
This 465-nucleotide ribosomal RNA is filed under the name Vreelandella stevensii. Its description in RNAcentral is "partial 16S ribosomal RNA". It matches the Rfam family "Bacterial small subunit ribosomal RNA", at positions 338 to 795 of the family's 1533-position model. The record is from RNAcentral. Lineage: Bacteria; Pseudomonadati; Pseudomonadota; Gammaproteobacteria; Oceanospirillales; Halomonadaceae.